Molecule: long non-coding RNA, 11311 nt
Filed under: Homo sapiens (human)
Lineage: Eukaryota; Metazoa; Chordata; Mammalia; Primates; Hominidae
Description: HSALNT0011489
Source: RNAcentral
GGAGUGGCAAGGCCUUAGUAAUGAACAUAUUCAGACUGAAGGGACUGUGCAGGGAGAGACAUAAACUGAGGUUAAAUUCCAUCACAUGUAAAACUUCUAGCAAGUCAUGCAGCUUCUCCCUUCCACACAAGACAGCUUAGAGAUCAAUGAAAUAAACUAAGCCAAAACAGAAACAAAAAGACAGGAGACACAAAGCAUUAGCUAGGUAAGAAUGAGAUAUUCAAUUACGCAAAGUGAUUGUAAGAAAACUUUAUAUUUUAAAAGGUUUACUAAUUUAUUUAUAGUGAUUAAAAAAUUAAGUUUUAAUUUAAAAAUCGGUAGGUAGCCUAAACUCAUCUCUAAGCAUUUCUACAAUUAAUGAGUUUUACUUAACAAUAUUAAAAGAUACUUUUAACUAAUUAAAGAUUACUAGAAUAUACUUUGAGAUGAUAUAUCCUUAAAUUUAAUUCAGUACAUAUCAAUGGCAUGCUUCUAAUGCAGUAGAAUUAGCAGCCAUUUAAAUAAAUUCCUUAAGCAUGCUUGAAUUUAUAAAUAUCUUACACAUCCUUUCCCUUAAGGGGAAAUGAAGUACUACCAGCUUGAAAUCUGAUCUUAAGACCCAAAAACAUUUAUGCAGAAGAGUCUUGCUGUCGGAAUUUAAUAAACAAUAGGCAAUUUUCAAGUAAACCAUACAAAUUCUUCCACAUCACAUUAGAUACUAACAUAUAAAAGGAUUGUGAUUGGGAUAUGUAAUCAGAAUGCCUGGGACAACAGACAUAAACCAGGAAAAGAUAGAGAGUUACAGAAAGUUUGCCAAACAGUUAUUUUUUUUAGCAGGAAACAGUGAUUAGAAAAAGGAACAUAAAUCAAUCUAAACAUUAACAAAUUUUUUGCUCAAUUCUUCCAAUUAAAUACCUGAGGAUAACAAAGUUUACUUGAUUUUCUAGUAAAUGCCCUUUUCUCCCACCCAAUAAUUAUUUCUCAAAUUAGUCUGUAACAUUUCAUUAACAGGUCUAGUCAAUUAUAAGACAGGUCCAUUUUGGUGAUGAUAUAGGUUAUCAGUAAAAAAGAAUCUGUCCAUUUUCCAAAGAACUUACAAAAGGAUUCAAGCUAUCUUUUCUCAGCUUCAAAACUGCAGUGAAUUUUACACCCCAUGAACAGCCAAAUGGCUGUUCCUGAGUAAGUCCCUGUUAACACAGUAUGUCAAAGAGUUAUGGUCCCUGACCGCAAAGGGCGAAAGCCACAAUGUCAUAACAGAUGUGAAAUGAAAAGACAGCGGUGUCGACAUUAAAUAGUAAUAUACAUAGUGUAAAGUUAACAUCGUGCACCAGGAAAGGCUUAGGUGAGAGGUAGUAAGGGAAAUGGGUGGUUCUCAAGGCUGCCAGUUUCAAGAGCUGUAGGAAGAAUGGAAAAGGUUUGGCUAUUGACUUUCUUGUAUGUGGUUCAUGCUAAUACUUCAAAAUAGGUGUGAGAUGAUCAAGAAUCAGAGCACUAUACUAUAAAUAUACCUGAACCCACAGUGCGAAUAAAAGAGGUAAGACCCUAAGAAAGUCCAGUGAAGUUGGUCAAAAGCCUUGAAGCCCAUAUACAUUCCACUUGAGGGACGCCAGCUACCACACUCGCAAUUAGAGCAUAAACAUUUUUCUACCUGCUUUUUCUCGGUUUCUUCUAAGUCUGGCAAGCAGUCAGAGGGCAGAGCCAGUUAAGUCCCCCAGCUAUAAGAAUGCCACAAAGGUAUGUUGUGCGUGUAUGUGUGUGUGUGUAGCUCAGCUAGUGCUUUCUUGAGAAUAUUUAACUUUUACUUUUGUUCCGAUUAGUAAAGUUGUGCAUGUUAUCACUAACAGAAAUCAGAAAUUCUUCAAACUGCAUAUAACUUAGAACAAAGUUGUUUUUGCAAGCUCCAUCAAUUAUCAAUAAACAGAGAUGUAGCAAAUAAACAUUAGACAAGCGACCUUUGUUAAACCAACUUUUUUAUAGGGUAAAGUAUUUCAUAUGUACAUCAAUAUAGAGGGGCAAAUAUGUGUGUGUGCAUAUAUUUAUAUAUAUAAACACACACAUAUAUAUAUUCAUUUAUUUACAUAUUUAUUUAGUGAAUCACAGUACCCAGUGAACUGGAAAACAGAAAUAGUCUAGAACAUUUUAAAGAUUUCUAUUAUUCAUAUGGAGAAUAUAUUCAUUAGUCUUCUAUCCAAAGCCUUUACUUCCACAGAGCUCAAAAACUCUGGCUGGUGUUUAAUCUAGGCUCAGAUACAGCUCACCACAAGCCCCACUAUUUCCUUUUCCAACCCCCUAGUUUGCUCUCUUAUGUUGCCUAACUGGCCCUGCAGGCCUCUGCAAACAAAUGAUGACACCAUUUGGCCAACGAAUUGACCUUCUGUCCCACCAGUUCAAUUCAUUCAACAAAUAAUUACUGAACAUAAGUUGUAUCUAUUAAGCACUAGAGGAUAAAAAUACAAUACCAAAGUCCUCAAAACAAAACAUGUUCCAUGGUUUCUUUAUAUGGUAUAAAGGAAAGUGAAAUGAAAGAUCAGUAAAAAGGGUUCAGCAAAUUAUUCUGACAUCAGUAUUUUGUAACAAAUUAACUUCCUUUCAUUUUCAAUCUAAAAUAAAAAUCUUAAUACAGAUGCACUAAGGGGGCCACAGUGGCUCACACCUGUAAUCCCAGCACUUUGGGAGGCCGAGGCGGGUGGAUCAUCUGAGGUUAGGAGUUCAAGGCCAGCCUGGCCAACAUGGCGAAACUCCAUCACCACUAAAACUACAAAAGAUUAGCAGGGCAUGGUGGCACAUUCCUGUAAUCCCAGCUACUCGGGAGGUUGAGGCAGGAGAAUCACUUGAACCCGGGAGGCGGAAACUGCAGCGAGCUCAGAUCACUCCAUUGCACUCCAGCCUGGGUGACACAGCAAAACUCCGUCUCAAAAAAAAAAAAAAAGAAAGAAAGAAAUGCACUAAGGGGAGAAGAGAAUUGUUCAAGUCUCCAAGAUCUAUUCACUUAACAAAAGCAUAACUAACACUGUGAGACCUUUCUAUUCAGGGAGCAACAGUGUUGGAUGACAGGAAUAUUUAAACUUCAGGUAUCACAUGGUUAUCCUACGGGGUUGUGCUGACGGUCUCUCUGGGUCAUUUGUACUCAGCCACAGUUGAGGAAACCUCAAGGAAAAACACAAGUACUCUCCAUUUCAAAUCUUAGACAGGUUAGAUAGAUAAGCCAGAUGAGUGCCUGGUGGGACCUAAUACACAUCGUAACAAAGCAUAACUUCAUGCUUUUUUUGUAGUCACAGGUAGGACUACCAACUAUAUACAAUGUUUUCCAAAUGUCCAUGUAUUGUAAAAUUACUAAUAUCCCAGAAAAGACUAUAGCCAGUUACUGGCAUUUUUAAUUUUUAUAGUAAAAUUACAUUUUAUAGUAAAAUUGCAUUUGCAUUUUGAAUUCCAUGAACAAUAUUAUUGCUAUUGAUUUUCGUAUUCAAAAAUAGAUUAAAUACAACUAGCUGAACUUCUUAACAAAUUAGAUAUAUUACUUGACACAUCAAUUAUUCUGAACUAGAUAUUUGAGUACUUCCUAUAUGCUAAGGACAGUUCUAAACAUCUUAUACAUAUUCACGCAUUAAAUGUUUCAGACAACCCACUUUACAGAUGAGGAAACUGAGGCACAAAGCAGUAAUUAGCCCCAAUUCAUGUAAUUAAGAAUUGGUGGAGCUGGAAUUUGAACCCUAGCAGUCUGACUCUAAAGCUCAAACCCUUAGCUACCAUAGUUUAAUGUCUCAAGACAGCGAGCAUUUGCCUUGUGAUCACUACAUAUUCAAUCCAACAUUCUCUAUCACCCUAACAUAGACAAAUAAUGACCUUAGGCAAGAUAUGAUUCUGAGUGAAUAAAAAAAAUUAUUAAAAAAUAUUUGUUGCAUUAAAAGAUAAAUACAUUUUUGAAUGAUUUUCAUCAGGCCUGAAUUCAAAGAAUUUUCAGGAAUAUUCUAAAUUUAAAAGAAAUUUUCAUUAUAAGAACAUCCAUGCUUAAGUAUUAUGAGUUGAUUAAAGUUUUAAUUCUGAUUGGCCAAUGUUUUUAGUUGUUACAAUAAUGAAUUAAUGAAUCUGAAAUACAAAAUAAAUUAUAACAAUGACAGUGAAGAUGGUUAUAAAGAAAGUGAAAAUAAUUUUUAUACCUGAAGUACAAAUAUUAUUUUAGAAGUUAGCCCUUGUUUAUAUAACCAAGAGAUUUUAAUUUCUCAAAUAUAAUAUUCAAGCUCAUUUAAUUAGUAAGCUCAACAGAGUUAUAGUGAGUUAGGACCAGAUCAAGUUUAUUAUGAAUAUGUGGUAUUCUUAUUGUAUGAAUACCAUAAAAUUAAUAAUGUAGCAAUAUUCAACCUGAAAAAUAAGGAUAAAAUUGCCUUACAUUUGCAGCCCCCAAAAUUUUUAUGUCAAAAUAUAAGCUUCCAUCAAGAAGUCUUGUUCCCUGAAAGCAGUAAGAUUUGACAUAAAACAAAGUGUUAGGUAAGGAGAUCAAGACAAUUUGUUCUGUUCUGGAAAUCUGCUACUAAUCUGUUUUGGCAGAUGUAGGUAGUAACUUUAAAAUUUUAGCUAUUCUGGAGGUGUUUCUUUUUUAAACAGCCCAGUUACCUAAUCAUGGCAGGAACAUGUCUAAUAAUUACAGAUAUAAAUAUUGUACAGAUGGUUAAUAAAUAAAACAUGUUAGCUAUCAAAAACAGCAAAUUAUAAAGAAUAAUGAAAGAUUAAGGUCCUUGACAGCAAAUGAAUGUAACGAUGUCUUAAUGUUCAAAUAACUUGAACCAAAGGAUCCAAUGGCCUGGAAUGUUAGCAUCCUACUAAGGUCAAAAUCCUGAUUCAAAAUGUUCAUGGACUUUUUUGCCACACUGACAUUUUCUUUCCUACAUUUUCCCCAGUCCUUUAAGGAAUAAACAAUAGUGUACUAGUUAUCCCUGGUUUAAGUUCUAACCACAGAGGCAAAAAGAACCUAAAAUAAAAAUGGUUUGUUUUAAUGUGAUUGAAAUUAAAGGAAAAAAUACAUGCUUGGCAACAUGGUAUUUUAUAUACAUAACUAUAGUGUUUUAAGUUUUAAUGAACAAAUACAACACUGGGGAAAAAUAAAUACACCCAUAACUGCCUCUGUACUCCUAUGUCUCUUUAAGCCUUUGUAAUAGAGUUUCCAGUUUUUGUAUUGCUCACAAAUUAACACAUAAAAUGUGUGCAUUGAUACUUAUUUCCAUAACUGUGGUUUCACAAUACUGAAAGUAUUUUUUAUUUUUUAUUUCAAUAGGUUUUGAGGUACAAGUGGUUUUUGGCUACAUGGAUGAAUUGUAUAGUGGUGAAGUCUGUGACUUUAGUGCACCUGUCACCCAAGUAGUGUAUAUUGUACCCAACAUGUACAAUACUGAAAGAAUUUGCCUCUGUUAAUAUGAUACAUAUUUCCUCCAAUAACACUAGAUGAAAUGUAGCUGGGUAUGGUUUUAUUGGCAUCAUAUUAAGAUAAAAGGAUGAAGGUUUGUGUUAAAAUCAGGUUCGAAAGGUGUGUGUGCAUUUUUCCAUAGUGUUCUCUGUGCAUUUCAGGGACUUCAAGACUUAAAAAGCCAAUUUGGGCUCAUUAUAAUGCUAUAUAAAAUAGUCUUUCACCUUCCUACAUGAUUUUUAAUAGAUUCUUUUUUCUGGAGAAAUUUAAUAUAUGCUUUUCAACAAUCACAAAGAGCUCAAUUGUUAGAUGACAGAUUGUUGACACCCAGCUUGACUCAGCCAACCAUUACAUGAGUGUUUUCAGUUCAUCUGAACACCAAAAUUAUAUUGAUGCAAACUCAGUUAAAAUUUAUUUUCUCUUAUUUUAGUAAAGCCACAUUUCUAGAAAAAAAAUACACAACUCCCAGAUUACCGUAUAUUAAAGCUAAAGCUGGAAACUUGUUUGUUUUCUGUUAGUGCUUCAUAUGCUAACAAUGAGACCCAGGCUCCUAAACACUUUAACAUUCACGAACCCAGAUACAUUAUCUGACUUUUAGUUCAAUAAGUAUUUAUUAGGCACUUAUACUGUACUGUGGAACCUCAGGAAACAAGAGAUGUUUCUGAGAAGCUUAAAGGAAAGCAGAGGAGAGAGAGAAUCAUGUAUAACUGACUAUAAUAUGAGAGUGUCAGCGCUCCUAGGAGAGUCGAGAAAGGAAGAGCCAUUCUGUUUAGAUGGGUCACAAAUGCUUAUCAAAAAGAUAACUAUCGAGCCAGGUCAAGAAAUACAAAAUCAAGCAGAGAAACAAGGGAAAGCAGAGUGGACUGCAAGUGCUAGGGUUCAGGCUUAAGGCAGGUCGUGCCAGGUAGAGCUGCUGGAGAGGAGGCUGGCAGGGAGGCACACAGCCCGACAGGGAAGAACCCUGAAUGCCAAGCCAGGGGAGCCAGACUUGACCCAGUAGGCAGAGUGCAGCCACUGAACAAAGCCAAACAUGAGAAGGAUUUGAUUAGCUCUGUGUCUCAGAAAUUUAACACUGGCAACAGUAUAGAGGAAAGAUUAAAGGUAAGAGACAGGAAGACAGAAAGGGCUAUGCGAUAGUUCAUGAAGACCCCAAUUAAGGCAGCAGUGGUAAGAAUGGAAGGACAGAGGCAUUUUAGAGGGAGACUUGAUAGGACUUAGUGACUGGUGUGACAAGGGAAAGGCAGGCAGAAGUAGUGUCAAAGCUGACUCCAAAUGUCUAGCUUGGAUGACUGGAUGAAUAAAGAUGAGAUUAUUCGGCUAGGAAACCAAAGAGGAGCUGGCAAUGGAAGGAACCUGUAUUCUCUCUAUCCCAGGUAACACCCAGAGGAAGCUGGGAGUGUAGGUCCAAUGCUCAGGAGGUUACCCAAAGAGAAAGAGCCAAUGUAAGGACAAUCAUUAAGGGGCAGGCUUAGGAGUAGAAGGACUAACAGGAGCCCAUCAGAUCUGGCCUUGAAGAAGUCGGCAGUAAUCUGCGGGAGAGACUUUCACCAGAAUGAGGGGCCACCUCCCAGCUGUAGAGCGGAGGAGUAUCAAAGAGACAAGGGAGGGGGAAGUGCAGGCUUCUCUUUCCCCAAGUGUGGCCAUAAAGGAGAAACUGUGAGAGGAAGACAGGGCCAAGGGAAGACUCCUCCCCAGCCCCCACCAGCCUACCAACUUGGAUGUGCACAUUUGCAGUUGAGGAGACCUGCAAACGGAGGGUAAGAGGCUGAAGAUACAAAAGGAGAAGGAAGUGGUUAGGGCAACUUCAUGAAAGAUUCUGGAAAGAACAGUACAGGUAGGUAGAGUUAUCAUUGGAAAACAGUAGAGUUUCUUUGGAAUUAAAAGGGAAGGAAGAAAUGGAUGAGUCCAGAUGCAGAUAAACUUUGAGACAGAGAAGAGGGAAGUUAGAGGAAAUUACUUCUGAUAAAUUCUAUGUUCUUAGCAGAUCUCAAAGCAGGGUCAGCUGGCUCUGGAGAUCAGGAAGGGGUUGUGUUGGUGAAAAAUGUUAAAAAGUUUUGGAACAGCCAGGUGGGGAAGAGAAAAGGAGCCAAAAAGGGAUAAAACAACUAAUUAGGAGCACUGAAGGGCCGGGUAAAUUAGAAACACAUUUGAGAUGGAGCCAAUUGGCAAAGUUAUAGGAUUUUCUCCAACAGUGCUCACAGGAGAGAGAUGAGGAACAGAUACAACAGAUGGUUGAAUUGAUCUAAUUUUGGAGGCUGGUAAUCAAGUGGUUACAGAAUGUCCAAGUAGCAGUGAGAAUGUUGGAAAAAGGAAGCAAAAAUGACUAUGCAGGCUGUAGAAGGAAAGAGGUGAACUGAGAUGGCUGGGGAAACAGGCAGGGUCAGAAAGAGGUCAUGGAGCAGAGUUAGGAGGAGGGGGAAAUGUUUAAAGGAGGCUGGCAGGAUUCAAGAUGUCAGAAGCAAUGUGCUAAGCAAUAAGAAGGUUUAUUCAAUGAAUUUUCAAGUGAACAAAAAUAAAGAUAACUGAGGUUAAGAAAGUUUAAAAUAAGAUCACUGUGACACCUUGGGCAAGUUAUUGCCAUUCUGAGUCUUGAUUUCCCCAUCUGUAAAUAGCAGGUUAAAUAAAUAAGAUAAUGGAUAUAAAGUACCUAAUACCAUGCCAGGCACAUAGAAGGUAUUCAAGAAACAGUGGAUGAUGACAAUGAUUAGAAAAAUGUUACAGUUGUCCAGAAUGUUGGCAGUGCCCAGGCAGCUAAAAAGUAGAAGCAAAAGUCUUCCAGGGAUGAAGGGAGGUGAUAACAGUGAUGAGGACAAAACGAUAUGAGUAUCCUUGGAUGAUGUUUUCAAAAGACAGGAGAGCAUGGAAACGAGGUUCCUAAUAGGAAAUGGGAACACAGCCUUUCCCCUCUUAACCAUAAAGAUUCAGGAGCUACCAGAGAGUAAGUAAUGUGUACUUAAAGAGUAAAUAAGGGAAAAUGAGAUAGAAUGGGUCAACCUUAUUUUGCUCACUUUCAAAUUGAGACUUCAUGAUUUUCUCUUACAGUCUACUGCUUUUUCAUAACAGAAGGCUGAAGGACUCACAACAGUCUGCCCAAGAGAGAAAAAUAUCUACUUCUAAACUGAUAAAAACAGUUCUCUCCCACAUAUAUCAACCUUUGAGUUGUUUAGACAUUCACUAUCAAGGAGAGCCUGCGUCAUUUACCAAAGGUUUCUGUUACGGGCAAAUCCAAUGAUUUUACAAGCAAUGUGCACGUGGUGUCUGUGCUUCUUUGCACAUGCAUGCACAUCCACAUGUAUGUGUAUGUGUGUGUAAGAGGAAGGUGCAAUAAAAAUAUGCCUUUCUAAGUUAAAGAUCUGACACACAUGUGCACACACAGUAAAAUUCAAAUUUUUGGAAGAAACAAAUGACCUACACAGUAUUAGAAAAGAUGCAAGUAUGGACUGAGUAUACCCACAAUCAAACAGGUAAGCAUAGCUCAAUGCCAGAUGCUUUGGAGAUAACAAAAAUAAAAGACAUUUUCUAACCUCAAUCAAGGAAUUCAGUGGGGAUUCAAGGCCCACAUCCACAAGAUAGGUGACUCUCAACACAAAAGAGGGAUGAGGAAGGCCAAUAACCAAUACAAACAGAAUGACUUCAAAAAACAUCAUGAUUGCUAUGGUCUGGUGAGAUUAAGGAAGGCUUCACAGAGGAGGAGGUUAGACUUAGCCCAACUCCUGAUGGAAAGGAGGUGAGAAGCAAAGGGAGGGAGGAAGGGAGACCAAGUUGGGGACAUAGCAUGUAAGAAAAGCACAGAGGUAGGAGGAGCCAUGCACGUUCAAGGACAUAAGAAACUGCCUGGCAGAAGCAGAAGGUUCAUGCUCAGGAGUGGAGGGAUAUGAGUUUGGAAAGCUGGUUGGGGAAAGCUGAAAAAGGCACUAAACAGCAAGCUGCAGAGACUGGACCUACUUCAUGUCGAGAUGGUACACUCCAAACUACCCUCUGGAUGCAUGCAUUAAAUAUUUUUUAAAGAUGAAGAAGAAAGAAAGGGCACAGCAGAAAUUAAAAGCAAGAUCAACAUCUUUGUGACCCAGAAACAAUCAAGACAGUGGUGGGACUCUGGCUACACAGCUGGAAGCCUGCAGAAGUGGCUGGGUGUUCCAUUCAUGUGGGUACAUAGGUCGAAAGCCCCUGGCCUGAAAUCAGGGGUGGAGUCAGGCUCUCCCACAUGGGGAAGGAGGCUGAGAGAAAUUGGGACCAUUGCCCUCGGGCCAGGGCUGAGAUGGAGCCACAUCCCUGCCUGAGAAGAAAGCCUGGGAGGAGCUCACCAAGAGAUGGAAGCCUGGGUCAUUAAGGUCUGUUUCUAGACUGAAAGGCCUAGAUGAUCGGGCAGAGCCAACAAGAAGGCCAGCAGACGAGGAGGGAAAAACAGAGAGAGAAAGAGGAGAGAAACACACCAACACUCCCAUCCCAUCUGAACCUACCAACCAAAUUCCCUAACACACAAGGCAAAUGAACAUUAUGAGAACUGACGAAGUAUGCAACCACAAGGCAAACUCUCACAGGAUGAAAUGCAAAUAGCAAAGCAAUAUCAAAAUGGCUUAUCACCUGAGAUCCUUCAAGUGAAAAAAAUAUAUAUAUAUAUCUAUAUAUAUACACACACAUAUAAAAAGAAUAAGAAGCCAUAAAACAAAAACAGGCGGGCCCAAAUUAUAACAGAUGGCUAUCAUAAGGAUCAAAUUAGAAAUGCUGGAAAAGAAAGAUAUAGCCCCUGAAAUCAAAGGUCAGUGGAUUGGGGGAUAUACUCCAGAAUGGACACAUUAAAGAAAAUUCACGAAUUGAAAAUAAUAGGAGGAAUUCAAUCAGAAUACAGCUAGAGCUUAGGAACUGAAAAAUAUAAAACAGAAGGUAAGAUAUAUUGAGGACAGAUUGAAAGUCUCCAAUAUAAGUUUGGGGGCUAUUGGCUGGAUGCAGUGGCUUAUGCCUGUAAUCCCAGCACUUUGGGAGGCCAAGGCAGGCAGAUCACCUGAGGUAAGGAGUUUGAGACCAUCCUGGCCAACAUGGCAAAACCCCAUCUCUACUAAAAAUACAAAAAUUAGCCAGGCGUGGUGGUGCACACCUGUAGUCCCAGCUACUCAGAAAGCUGAGGCAGGAGAUUCACUUGAACCUGGGAGGUGGAGAACCUGGGAGGUGGAGGUUGCAGUGAGCUGAGAUUGCACUCUAGCCUGGGUAACAGAGUGAGACUCCUUCUAUUAAAAAAAAAAAUUGUGGGGCUAUUGCAAAAGGAGAAAAUAAGGGAAAUAAGGGGAAAGGCAGUAAAGCAAUAUCCAAAAAGAUAGUGGAGCCGGGUGUGGUGGCUCAAGCCUGUAAUCCCAGCAAUUUGGGAGGCCAAAGCAGGAGGAUCACUUGAGGCCAGGAAUUCGAGACCAACCUGGGCAACAUAGCAAGACACUCUCUCUACAAAAAAAAAAAGAAGAAUGAUGGCUGAGAAUUUUCCAUAACUAAAAAAGCAGCCCUAAGAUUGAAAGUACACACUGAUGCCAGGCAAGAUAAAUAAUAAUGAAUCUGUAUAUAGCUAUAUUAUGGUGAAACUACAGAAUUUCAGGAAAAAGAGGAAAAAUCUUAUAAUAUUUGGUCUUAUUCUUCAACCACAGAAGCUGUUAAACAAAGGCUUACAUUAGGAAACUGGUAUUUUAAGUGGAUUCUGGCAGCAGUGCAAAAAUAGAAAGGACCAGAAAAAUGAGAGCAAAUCAAUUCUACCAGAAGAUGCCUGCAUGAAGUUUUUAAUCUAGUGGAGGACAAUGGCUUGUAUGUAUUUGUCUCACCUUGCUCUACCAAAAAAAUACUAGGCUCAAGCUAGACACUUACAUAAAUAUUAGCUAUAGCUUUAUUAAUUGGAUAAGUUUCCAUUUCAUUUAAUUUCAGUUUUUAAGAUACGGGUUCUCUCUGUAUUGCCUA